This 433-nucleotide ribosomal RNA is filed under the name uncultured bacterium. Its description in RNAcentral is "partial 16S ribosomal RNA". It matches the Rfam family "Bacterial small subunit ribosomal RNA", at positions 29 to 507 of the family's 1533-position model. The record is from RNAcentral.
AACGAACGCUGGCGGCAUGCCUAACACAUGCAAGUCGAACGAGACCUUCGGGUCUAGCGGCGCACGGGUGCGUAACGCGUGGGAACCUGCCCUUAGGUUCGGAAUAACUCCCCGAAAGGGGUGCUAAUACCGGAUAAUGUCUUCGGACCAAAGAUUUAUCGCCUUUGGAUGGGCCCGCGUUGGAUUAGCUAGUUGGUAGGGUAAAAGCCUACCAAGGCGACGAUCCAUAGCUGGUCUGAGAGGAUGAUCAGCCACACUGGGACUGAGACACGGCCCAGACUCCUACGGGAAGCAGCAGUGGGGAAUAUUGGACAAUGGGCGAAAGCCUGAUCCAGCAAUGCCGCGUGAGUGAUGAAGGCCUUAGGGUUGUAAAGCUCUUUUACCCGGGAUGAUAAUGACAGUACCGGGAGAAUAAGCUCCGGCUAACUCCGUG